RNAcentral lists this long non-coding RNA (337 nucleotides) under Elaeis guineensis (African oil palm). Its description in RNAcentral is "long non-coding RNA (EGUI_LNC078539)". The record is from RNAcentral. Lineage: Eukaryota; Viridiplantae; Streptophyta; Magnoliopsida; Arecales; Arecaceae.
GAAGCUCGGAGUAGUGUCCCGCUGUAGAAGCUCAUCCAGAGCCCACUCACUAUGGGGUAGCUCGGUUGAAGUCUACCUGUGGUAGAAAUUCGAAAGAAAUUUGUUUAUAGUAGAGGCUUGAGUCAGAAUUUGCUUACAGUCGACGUCUGGGAUAGACAGCCUGCUGUAAAAGUUCGGAGUAGACCAUUUGUAGUAGAAGUUUGGCUCUCGCAGGAGCUCGAUUGGGAUCCGAAAGGCGGUCGACCGUCGUAGAAAUUUGGAAGGAGUCUGGUUACCGUAGAAAUCUCAUUGUCGGGGAAGCUCGAAUGCUGACGAAGCCCAAAAGAAGUUCGGGGGU